This 900-nucleotide small RNA is filed under the name Arabidopsis thaliana (thale cress). RNAcentral describes it as "ATSL155720". The record is from RNAcentral. Lineage: Eukaryota; Viridiplantae; Streptophyta; Magnoliopsida; Brassicales; Brassicaceae.
AAAUUCUAUUAUUUUUCAAAAGUUCACUGGGGUCAUUUGACCCCUAUAAUUCUUCAUUGGCUCCGUCCCUGAUGGAGAGCAUGCUUGAUGGACUGACCUUGUCUCAUCAAAUCCUCACAUUUUCUUUUCGCAUUAUUGUGAAAACUAUUCACAUCCAAUCCCACAUGUUGGUCCAACCUAUCAGCCUUAUUCCAACUACAAAAACUAGUUGAUAGAAAGCUAUCACUCCCUCCUUGAUUUCCAGCUUGAUCUCUGAAUAAGUAACAAUACAAGCAAAAAGCUUUUUCUUUCUCCACACUAUACUCCAACCAAUCACCAUACAAAUCAAACCAUUUUGGAUUAAAACGGCGUAACACCUUUCCAAUUGCUAUUUGUUUAAACUUAUGACCACGAGGUUGACAAGGUCCCCUAAUCAAAUAUUCACGUCGUACCUCAUCUCUUUGAUUAGGAUGAUAACUUAGAAUGCUUUUUCUCUUUGCGGGAUCACUUGGCAAUUCAUUUAAAUUAAUAUCAGGUGGUGGCGGAGAUUUUCUUUUCAGAAACCGAUACAUUAUUUUUGUUGUUGCCUUGCCUACAUACAAAAAUAAGAAACAAUAUAAAAAUCAUGAGUUAAAACUUAAAUCAAAUAUAAAAAUUGUUUUCUCCGUGGCCUUAUCAUGAUUCAUGACAACUUUAAUUUUUGUCAUUAGUAAAAAUUACUGUGAGAUUAAAUUAGAAACUAAAACAAACUACAUCAAAAAUUAAGAAGAAAACAGUAUAUUGACGACUAACGUUACAAAGAAAACUCAUGAAUAAUGACGAAUUGAGUUUUCAAUUUUUGACAGAAUAACAACACCAAAAACUAAAUUAAUCACAAACAAAUUUUGCUUAAGUGAUCAAAUUGAAAUUGGUUGAUAGUUA